AGAUUCAUGCAGUGGCAGUAUUGUAGCUAAUGAGGUUUAUCCAAGGUGCUAUUAUUGCUAAUUCAAAACUUUUUCUAAAAUAGG
This 84-nucleotide small nuclear RNA is filed under the name Chinchilla lanigera (long-tailed chinchilla). RNAcentral describes it as "U4 spliceosomal RNA (ENSCLAG00000020693.1)". It matches the Rfam family "U4 spliceosomal RNA". Rfam says of the family: U4 small nuclear RNA (U4 snRNA) is a component of the major U2-dependent spliceosome. The record is from RNAcentral. Lineage: Eukaryota; Metazoa; Chordata; Mammalia; Rodentia; Chinchillidae.